RNAcentral lists this non-coding RNA (53 nucleotides) under Sus scrofa (pig). The record is from RNAcentral. Lineage: Eukaryota; Metazoa; Chordata; Mammalia; Artiodactyla; Suidae.
UUCUCAUUGGCCUCAUGUCCUGUCACUUCCAGGAGCUGGCCAAUGAGUUGUCG